GACGAACGCUGGCGGCGUGCCUAAUACAUGCAAGUUGAGCGCUGAAGGUUGGUACUUGUACCAACUGGAUGAGCAGCGAACGGGUGAGUAACGCGUGGGGAAUCUGCCUUUGAGCGGGGGACAACAUUUGGAAACGAGUGCUAAUACCGCAUAAAAACUUUAAACACAAGUUUUAAGUUUGAAAGAUGCAAUUGCAUCACUCAAAGAUGAUCCCGCGUUGUAUUAGCUAGUUGGGGAGGUAAAGGCUCACCAAGGCGAUGAUACAUAGCCGACCUGAGAGGGUGAUCGGCCACAUUGGGACUGAGACACGGCCCAAACUCCUACGGGAGGCAGCAGUAGGGAAUCUUCGGCAAUGGACGAAAGUCUGACCGAGCAACGCCGCGUGAGUGAAGAAGGUUUUCGGAUCGUAAAACUCUGUUGGUAGAGAAGAACGUUGGUGAGAGUGGAAAGCUCAUCAAGUGACGGUAACUACCCAGAAAGGGACGGCUAACUACGUG
Molecule: ribosomal RNA, 497 nt
Filed under: uncultured bacterium
Lineage: Bacteria
Description: partial 16S ribosomal RNA
Rfam family: Bacterial small subunit ribosomal RNA
Source: RNAcentral